Danio rerio (zebrafish) is the source of this 714-nucleotide non-coding RNA. The record is from RefSeq and is a predicted model, not a curated record. NCBI's taxonomy places the organism in Eukaryota, Metazoa, Chordata, Actinopteri, Cypriniformes, Danionidae.
AAUCACAGUAACAGUUCAAUGUAAUGUAGAGUUGGUCAGAAUGCGUUUACAUGUCAUGCAUUACAGAAAACGUGUUUAGCCUCACUUGUUGCUAACUAACGUUAACAUUAGCCUACUGUUUAAAAGGUUAGAAUCAGUGCAACGUUAGCGUUAGUUGUAAUGUGUUAACUCUGAAUUUUAACAGAGUGUGAUGAAGACAAAAACAUUUGAAAUCGGCAGAUUAAAUUUUUCAAAAAAUUUUAAAUCUUGGCGCGAGUAUGCCUUUCCUCAGCCUGUGCUUGAGUUGUCAUGGAGACGCGCGCUCUUACACAACCACAAGUCAUGGCGCUGCGCUGAGCUCCGUUCAGCCUGUGAAUGUGGUAUUAUCUUUGCGAUCUGUUGGCAUUACGGAAACGAAAGGUGCAAGAAACGUAACGUUAAUCAUAACUCAAAUAAUCUCCGCCUAAAUACUAAACGGUAUUUUCUGAUGACUUGCAAAAACGUAGUCUCAAAACGUAACUGUCUAUCACACGCAGCUUGUUGCAUGCUGAUCCAUGCAUGAGGAAAGCCUGACGGAGAACAUUUAAGCUGCGCUCCUCACCUGAGCAGGUACAGAGCAGAGCUUCAUCUCACACUAGCACAUUGAGAAUUGAAGGUCGGUUGUUGCUGACUACAGAAAAGUUCUUAAAUGGAGGCAUGUAAAAGCAAGGAAAGUGAAACUUCAGCCAGACCUUG